AACGCACAUUGCGCCUCUUGGUAUUCCGAGGGGCAUGUCUGUUUGAGCGUCAGUACACACCUCCUAUGAGAUUUUUCUCGCAGGGUCUUGGGAAGGCCACCGCUCCGGCACGGCCCCCCUAAUGUGGCACGCUUGCGGGCUUUCGGUCAGAUGUCAACGUAGUAAAUUUCAACUCGCUGCAGCUUUCCGAGGGCCUCGCCUGAAUCAAACUUCUAUGGUUUGACCUCAGAUCAGACAAGGAUACCCGCUGAACUUAA
This 257-nucleotide unclassified non-coding RNA is filed under the name Flavocetraria sp. RNAcentral's name for it is "partial contains 5.8S ribosomal RNA, internal transcribed spacer 2, and large subunit ribosomal RNA". The stretch from base 1 to 52 matches the Rfam family "5.8S ribosomal RNA", at positions 103 to 154 of the family's 154-position model. Lineage: Eukaryota; Fungi; Ascomycota; Lecanoromycetes; Lecanorales; Parmeliaceae. RNAcentral also lists the same sequence under 2 other names. The record is from RNAcentral.